AGCUCCAAUAGCGUAUAUUAAAGUUGCUGCAGUUAAAAAGCUCGUAGUUGCAUUUCCGAGGCAAGGGAUUAGUCCGACCUUUGGUGGGUAUUUAAUCCUCUUGCCUCGUCCUUGAGUGGUGCUUCUUGGUAUUAAGUUAUCGAGGAGAUAGCCGCUCAUCGUUUACUGUGAGAAAAUUAGAGUGUUCAAAGCAGGCUUAUGCCGUUGAAUAUAUUAGCAUGGAAUAAUAAGAUAGGACCUCGGUACUAUUUUGUGGGUUUGAGAACCAAGGUAAUGAUGAAUAGGGACAGUUGGGGGUAUUCGUAUUCAGGUGUCAGAGGUGAAAUUCUUAGAUUUACGGAAGACGAACUACUGCGAAAGCAUUUACCAAGGAUGUUUUCA
This 381-nucleotide ribosomal RNA is filed under the name uncultured marine Chaetocerotaceae. RNAcentral describes it as "SSU rRNA". It matches the Rfam family "Eukaryotic small subunit ribosomal RNA", at positions 587 to 972 of the family's 1831-position model. Lineage: Eukaryota; Bacillariophyta; Thalassiosirophyceae; Chaetocerotales; Chaetocerotaceae. The record is from RNAcentral.